AACGUUAAACCUAAACGUAGUUACUACCUGGUCGCUCGUGGUGCGGUCUCUCAUUUUGUGGCGAUUCCUCCGGAGUCCUUUUCCUUGGCUUAGGUUCUCGAAUCGAAUUCUUUCUAGGGGAGCAUUCGAUCUGUGCUUUCCCGGGGGGCUGAAGCUGUUGUUCUAUCUGUCCCGGGUUCCUCUUCGUAAUCGUUCAAUUGCUUUGCGUUGCGUUAAAAGAUGGGCUUGUUUCUUGUUGUCUCAGAAACCUCUUACAGGUUCUCGUGGAGCAGGAGGUAUGAACGGUGAAUUGUUGUGGCGGUUCAUGGAUGUUCGGACAAGGCUCAUUACACCAAUUUGUCCUGACUAUGCGGAGAUGUUGGGAAGAAUAUUUUGAAGAAGGAUGGCUGUGUAGUUACUGCUGGUUGGCCCCUGUAUGAUGCCUCUGAUCCUACACUCAAGAUUGCUAACAAGUACUUGCAGGACUUAAUAGUGUUAAUGAGGAAGUUGCUUCGGAAGCAAGUGUCUGGUCCUAAGAAGGCUAAAAAAGGGGCUACAAUUCCUGCAACAGAAGAAAGCAAACUAACAGUGGGUCUUAUAUAUGUGAAUGAGCAAUUUGAUGGGUGGAAAGAAGAAUGGUUGAGGAUACUUCACAGCAAAUUUGACAGAGAGAGAUGCUCUUAUGCACCUGAUCAGGAGAUACUUGAAGCAUUAAAGCAGGGUGUCAUUGGGCAGGAUUCGAACUUUAAGCAAAUCCAGAAGCUUUGUAUACCAUUCCUGAAAUUCAAGAAGGAUGAAGCAUUGUCUGUUGGUCCACAGGCUCUGGAUUUGAAGCUCCCUUUUGGUGAAAUUCAGGUUCUUCAGAAGAAUUCUGACUUGAUAAAGUGGCAAUUGGGUCUUGAACAUGUUGAAGUCUCUCUGCAUCAGAUGAAGUUGUAAGAAGUAAAGGUGGUUCAUGUAUCUCAUUGCUAACUCAGAAUCCCCCUUCACCUGGCAGUCCUGUUGCCAUCUUUUUGAGCAAGUUAGAUUAUACCACAGUUACUACUGCAGAAUUGGAGCCUAAAGAAGCACUUUGGAAACUUUUUGCUGGGAAAGACUGCUGCAGGUGUGUGCAGUAGCAACUUUAAUAAACUGGGUAGCUUACAGAAUCUUGGGUUUUUUAUUUUGAAAAUCUCUUCCCAUGGGUAAUAUUUGAUACAUAAAGGUAUUCAAUGAUAGUGAUCUGUUGCUACAUAAUAAUGGCAUCAUUGUUUGAGUUGGUAUGCCAAAAAGAAUGGAAAAGAGUCAUUCUGAUGGUGCAUAUGUAUUCACAUGUGGAUCUAAAUAUACCCUGCCGAUAUCUGAUACUUUCACUUGUCACCGGAAUACCUGUGUAGAGUUUUGCCGCCUCCAUGUGCUCUGCGGCAUCGACCUAUAUUUGUUAUACCUGUCUCAGUGAUUCUCCAUUUUCUCUGGAUCUCUUUCUUAAUUCACUACUUGAAUUCCAAGCAGAAGCGAUAUCAAUUGGGAG
Non-coding RNA from Musa acuminata subsp. malaccensis (wild Malaysian banana), 1489 nucleotides. The record is from RefSeq and is a predicted model, not a curated record. Lineage: Eukaryota; Viridiplantae; Streptophyta; Magnoliopsida; Zingiberales; Musaceae.